Molecule: ribosomal RNA, 614 nt
Filed under: uncultured phototrophic eukaryote
Lineage: Eukaryota
Description: bacterial SSU rRNA
Rfam family: Bacterial small subunit ribosomal RNA
Source: RNAcentral
CUGGAAACGGCUGCUAAUACUCUAUAUGCCGAGAGGCGAAAGGAUCUAUCCACCUUAGGAAGAGCUCGCGUCUGAUUAGCUUGUUGGUGAGGUAAUGGCUCACCAAGGCGACGAUCAGUAGCUGGUUUGAGAGGACGACCAGCCACACUGGGACUGAGACACGGCCCAGACUCCUACGGGAGGCAGCAGUGGGGAAUUUUCCGCAAUGGGCGAAAGCCUGACGGAGCAAUACCGCGUGAGGGAUGAAGGCCUGUGGGUUGUAAACCUCUUUUCUCAAGGAAGAAAUUUUGACGGUACUUGAGGAAUAAGCAUCGGCUAACUCUGUGCCAGCAGCCGCGGUAAUACAGAGGAUGCAAGCGUUAUCCGGAAUUAUUGGGCAUAAAGCGUCUGUAGGUCGCAGAUUAAGUCUGUUGUUAAAGACCAGGGCCUAACCCUGGGAAAGCAAUGGAAACUAAUUCGCUUGAGUGUGGUAGAGGUAGAGGGAAUUCCUAGUGUAGCGGUGAAAUGCGUAGAUAUUAGGAAGAACACCAAUGGCGAAAGCACUCUACUGGGCCAUAACUGACACUGAGAGACGACAGCUAGGGGAGCAAAUGGGAUUAGAUACCCCAGUAGUC